Molecule: ribosomal RNA, 253 nt
Filed under: uncultured bacterium
Lineage: Bacteria
Description: partial 16S ribosomal RNA
Rfam family: Bacterial small subunit ribosomal RNA
Source: RNAcentral
UACGUAGGGUGCGAGCGUUAAUCGGAAUUACUGGGCGUAAAGCGUGCGCAGGCGGUUCGUUGUGUCCGUCGUGAAAGCCCCGGGCUUAACCUGGGAACUGCGAUGGAAACUAGCGAGCCGGAGUGUGGCAGAGGGGGGUGGAAUUCCGCGUGUAGCAGUGAAAUGCGUAGAUAUGCGGAGGAACACCGAUGGCGAAGGCAAUCCCCUGGGCCUGCACUGACGCUCAUGCACGAAAGCGUGGGGAGCAAACAGG